AUUAUUUUCUGAGGCUUAGAAAAGUACAUAUAAGACGAAAAAUUCCUUUCUAAAUAUCAAUUCCGUCGCCAUCAGGAAAUGUCAGAAACUUUGUCUUUUUAAAAAUAAAAGCGUCAACUCUUUAAAAACUUCAGUACCUCAAAGGAAAGCUGCACUGUUAACACUGAAGGAGGGCUGGGUGAUUUCUGAACAUCCGCAUUAAAGAAAUAUGCUCUCCAAACCUAGUAAUUCCUGCGGAGGCCACACCUUCUAACCUUCUCGUAAUCCACUAAUCAAAUCGGGAGCAUCUGAAAACUGCUACCAGCCAAAGUAAAAUGACAGGAGCUGAACACUGCCCCGAGAAUGCAACAGAACUUCAGCUCUGUCCCAAGGUCGUCAGCCACAGCUCCAAGUUUCUUAGCAUCAGCUUUUUCUGAACAAAAUAGUGCAUCCUGCUGGAAUCACUACUGUAAACUGAGUAUAAAGGAAAAUAAACCCUCUUUUUCUUAUCCACUAUGUUCCCUACUCCCGUGCUUUUCCCAGUGCUCCAGGUUAGUAGAGGCAAAAGAAUUCCCCACUGAUGAGGUACUACAUCCUACACAAUUUGUUCCACACAUUUUAAUUUCAUUAAGAGAAAACAAAGAUGUUUAAACAGUGAGCACUAAAUGGAUUAGAGUGGCAGUAGUAAAUUUCCUUUGUGCCUUUCUCUUAGAAUUUAGAAAGCUUUAGUUGCAAUCCC
This 718-nucleotide long non-coding RNA is filed under the name Homo sapiens (human). RNAcentral's name for it is "HSALNT0247776". The record is from RNAcentral. Lineage: Eukaryota; Metazoa; Chordata; Mammalia; Primates; Hominidae.